AGUGUUUCUGCAUAUUUCAUAACAUAAAUAAACAAUACAGAGAAAAUUAGCAUGGCCCCGGCACAAGGAUGACAUGCAAAUUCGUGAAGUGUUCCAUCUUUUU
This is a small nuclear RNA of Pogona vitticeps (central bearded dragon), 103 nucleotides long. NCBI's taxonomy places the organism in Eukaryota, Metazoa, Chordata, Lepidosauria, Squamata, Agamidae. The record is from Ensembl.